UAUAUGAAAUCAUGAAAAUGUAGAUUUUGUUUUGCAUGCUGUAAAAGGAUUACAUUUAUUUUGUUUAAAGUAGGAAGAAAGCUAUUUUUUAAUGCAAUCUGUAAACAAUUUCAUAGUUGUAUCUAUUAUGUGAUUUUACAUUACAAAUUAUGUCAUUCAAAUUUUUCUGAUAGUCUGUUAUUGUCACUGAAAGUGAUUAAAUGCCUGUAAUUUUCUUAUUUUGAUGUAUAAAUUUCUUUUUAGAGUAGAAUAAAAUUGAUGAUUUCAGAAAAUUAUCAAAGGGGUAUCAGUUAACUUUUUUGCAUACUGUAGAUGUAUUGCAUUUAUUUUGUAAAACUUGUGAUGCAAAAUGAUAACACAUUGCAAAUAUCAG
Molecule: long non-coding RNA, 373 nt
Filed under: Mytilus galloprovincialis (Mediterranean mussel)
Lineage: Eukaryota; Metazoa; Mollusca; Bivalvia; Mytilida; Mytilidae
Source: RNAcentral